AGAUUGAACGCUGGCGGCAUGCCUUACACAUGCAAGUCGAACGGUAGAGUAGCAAUACUUGAGAGUGGCGAACGGGUGAGUAAUAUAUCGGAACGCGCCCAGUCGUGGGGGAUAACGUAGAGAAAUUUACGCUAAUACCGCAUACGAUCUAAGGAUGAAAGCGGGGGACUCGCAAGAGCCUCGCGCGAUUGGAGCGGCUGAUAUCAGAUUAGGUUGUUGGUGAGGUAAAGCUCACCAAGCCGACGAUCUGUAGCUGGUUUGAGAGAACGACCAGCCACACUGGGACUGAGACACGGCCCAGACUCCGUACGGGAGCAGCAGUGGGGAAUUUU
Molecule: ribosomal RNA, 332 nt
Filed under: uncultured soil bacterium
Lineage: Bacteria
Description: bacterial SSU rRNA
Rfam family: Bacterial small subunit ribosomal RNA
Source: RNAcentral